UAUGAAUAAAAAUAAAAAUAAAAGCAGGGAGGGAAUUAAAAAAACUAAAGAAAAAGAAGUUGAAUCUUACAUCAUAUAAAAAAUUAACUCAAGUGGGGCGGGGCCCAGACGCUUUCUCGCUGCUUUGGGAGUGGGUUUUCUGGUUGAAGUUGGCACAAGUUGUCUGUCCCCGCCGCACCACCAUGCUCAGUGUUCCUGAAAGUACACCUUUCACAGCAGUCUUAAAGUUUGCAGCAGAAGAAUUUAAAGUUCCUGCUGCAACAAGUGCGAUUAUUACCAAUGAUGGAAUAGGAAUAAAUCCUGCACAGACUGCUGGAAACGUUUUUCUAAAGCAUGGUUCAGAACUGCGAAUUAUUCCUAGAGAUCGCGUUGGAAGUUGUUAAUAUGUGCUACUUGGAGCAUAUAAUUACCUUCAAAAUAAAUAUUGGUAUUUUUUGUUGUAAAAAUUGAAAUCAGGCAUUUGAGGAACUGACAACACCAAGAGUCAAUGAAACAAUGAAAGCUGCACACAGUCCUUUCUUGUUUGUACUCUUCAUGUGAAGAGGGGAUGCUUGUGAGUGGAGUGUACAACCACCACAGAAAGUCAUAGAUUUGUCGAUAGCUACCUCACAAUACAAGCAGGGAGUUCAUUUGUAGAAAAUGGAUUAUCCAACUAUGUUUCUAUA
Molecule: non-coding RNA, 665 nt
Organism: Castor canadensis (American beaver)
Lineage: Eukaryota; Metazoa; Chordata; Mammalia; Rodentia; Castoridae
Source: RefSeq, a predicted model, not a curated record